GUUAUGUGGUCAAGCGAGUAAGCGCGUACGGUGGAUGCCUUGGCGGUAGGAGGCGAUGAAGGACGUGGUAGUCUGCGAUAAGCCUCGGGGAGUCGGCAAACAGGCUUUGAUCCGGGGAUGUCCGAAUGGGGAAACCCACCGCUUCGGCGGUAUUUACAUCUGAAUACAUAGGAUGUAAAGGCGAACCCGGUGAACUGAAACAUCUAAGUAACCGGAGGAAAAGAAAUCAACCGAGAUUCCCUGAGUAGUGGCGAGCGAAAUGGGAUCAGCCAGCACUCUUUAGCACGCGGCCUAGUUGAACGGUCUGGAAAGUCCGGCCAUAGUAGGUGAUAGCCCUGUAAACGAAAGGUUGUGUGUGGAACUAAGUGUGCGACAAGUAGGGCGGGACACGAGAAAUCCUGUUUGAAGAUGGGGGGACCAUCCUCCAAGGCUAAAUACUACCUACCGACCGAUAGUGAACCAGUACCGUGAGGGAAAGGCGAAAAGAACCCCUGUUAGGGGAGUGAAAUAGAACCUGAAACCGUAUGCGUACAAGCAGUCGGAGCCUCGGUCUGACCGGGGUGACGGCGUACCUUUUGUAUAAUGGGUCAGCGACUUACUUCUCAGUGGCAAGGUUAACCGUUUAGGGGAGCCGUAGGGAAACCGAGUCUGAAUAGGGCGAUUGAGUCUCUGGGAGUAGACCCGAAACCGGACGAUCUACCUAUGGCCAGGUUGAAGGCGCGGUAACACGUGCUGGAGGACCGAACCAACUAAUGUUGAAAAAUUAGUGGAUGAGCUGUGGGUAGGAGUGAAAGGCUAAUCAAGUUCGGAGAUAGCUGGUUCUCCCCGAAAGCUAUUUAGGUAGCGCCUCGUGUCUCACUCUCGGGGGUAGAGCACUGUUAUGGCUAGGGCUGCAUCCAGCGGUACCAACCCAUUGCAAACUCCGAAUACCGAGAAGUGCAAUCACGGGAGACAGACUACGGGAGAUAAGUUCCGUGGUCGAAAGGGAAACAGCCCAGACCGCCAGCUAAGGUCCUUAAAUCAUUGCUCAGUGGGAAACGAUGUGGGAAGGCCCAGACAGCCAGGAGGUUGGCUUAGAAGCAGCCAUCCUUUAAAGAAAGCGUAACAGCUCACUGGUCGAGUCGGCCUGCGCGGAAGAUUCAACGGGGCUUAAGCAAUGUACCGAAGCUGCGGAUGCGUGUUUAUCACGCAUGGUAGGGGAGCGUUCUGUAAGCUGUCGAAGGUGUGCUGUAAGGCAUGCUGGAGGUAUCAGAAGUGCGAAUGCUGACAUGAGUAGCGAUAAAGGGGGUGAAAAACCCCCUCGCCGGAAGCCCAAGGUUUCCUGCGCCACGUUAAUCGGCGCAGGGUGAGUCGGACCCUAAGGCGAGGCCGAAAGGCGUAGUCGAUGGGAAUCAGGUUAAUAUUCCUGAACCGUGUAUAACAGUGAUGGGGGGACGGAGAAGGCUAGAUCAGCCGGGUGUUGGACAUCCCGGUUUAAGCGUGUAGGAAGCAUUUCCAGGAAAAUCCGGAAGUGCAUAUUCUGAGGCGUGAUGACGAGCACAUUACGAUGCGAAGUGAUUGAUGCCAUGCUUCCAGGAAAAGCCUCUAAACUUAUGUUAUACGCGACCGUACCCCAAACCGACACAGGUGGGCGGGGCGAGAAGCCCAAGGCGCUUGAGAGAACUCGGGUGAAGGAACUCGGCAAAAUGACACCGUAACUUCGGGAGAAGGUGUGCCUCUGGUAUGUGAAAGCCCUGCGGCUGGAGCAGAAGGAGGUUGCAACAAAGAGGUGGCUGCGACUGUUUACUAAAAACAUAGCACUCUGCAAACUCGCAAGAGGACGUAUAGGGUGUGACGCCUGCCCGGUGCCG
RNAcentral lists this ribosomal RNA (1850 nucleotides) under Gammaproteobacteria bacterium. RNAcentral describes it as "partial 23S ribosomal RNA". It matches the Rfam family "Bacterial large subunit ribosomal RNA", at positions 1 to 1871 of the family's 2925-position model. The record is from RNAcentral. Lineage: Bacteria; Pseudomonadati; Pseudomonadota; Gammaproteobacteria.